Haliotis rubra (blacklip abalone) is the source of this 325-nucleotide long non-coding RNA. RefSeq lists it as uncharacterized. The transcript has 3 exons. Lineage: Eukaryota; Metazoa; Mollusca; Gastropoda; Lepetellida; Haliotidae. The record is from RefSeq and is a predicted model, not a curated record.
GUGGUCGAACUGGUCAUCUUGGUCCAGCUGCUCCAGUACAUGCGGCGGGUGUGGAACCAGGACUAGAACUAGAACCUGCCUGAAACCUCCCUGCAGUGGACAAAGCAAGCAAACCGUAGUAUGCAACAGACAGGUGUGCCCCAUUGUAACCAAGGCGUGUACACAGAGAUACAGGUGUGGAGGAUGGUGGUUCAGGAAGAAGUAUUGUAUCAGGUACGUGAAGUGCUAUACAUUCAAGAGAUGUUGCAGCGGUCUCGAAGAGAUCAAUGGCCAGUGCGUGUAGAAGAGGACCAGGAAGAUCCAUCCACAAGAUCUGCAAAUCCAC